RNAcentral lists this long non-coding RNA (1955 nucleotides) under Mytilus galloprovincialis (Mediterranean mussel). The record is from RNAcentral. Lineage: Eukaryota; Metazoa; Mollusca; Bivalvia; Mytilida; Mytilidae.
UUUCCAACAAGAGAUUUCAACCAUGUUUCGCUACCUAUGAAACUCAACUUGAUAAAAUGUGACAUUUUUCAACUGGUCUAUAGUUUUCUGAAACAGCUAUACAUUGAUGACAUUUUUUGAAAUGAUACAUGUAAACAGUUGCACCAAUCAUAUAGAAAUGACAAUGAUUUAUAACGAAGAUGUGUAAAACAUUAAAAACUUAUAAAAUUGCACAAGAUGACUGUGAAAUAAAUAUUUCUUCAUUCAUGUAACAUUCAUUCAUAUCAAUAGGUAAAACAUUAUUUACAAAUAUAGAUCUAUCAUCAGAAAUACAUUACAAGAAAUAAUCUGUGAAAUAGUCCUUUUCUUUUAAAUGUAUUAACAUAAUUACAGUUUUAAAACUUAAAAACACUGAUGUACAACUCAUUCAUAUUAAGGAAGUACAAUGGAAUUUAAAAACUUUUAUGCCUUGCUUAACAAUCAACAGCACCUCAAUGUAAUUAAAACAUCUGUGUUUAAAUCAAUUAAAAUAAACAGUUUUUAUUAUACUUUAACUUGCUUUCAAAUUAUUAUAAUUCAUUUAAAAUUUAAACAAGAAAGCACCAACUUUGAUAAUUUGUGAACUUAAACAAAAAAUAAAAAGGCAUACUUUAAUUCCAUAUAAUUAUAAUUAUAAUCCAAUAAUCACAUAGUAUGAAAUGGAUUAUUUCCCUUUAAACAGAGCAAAGAUGUAUUUAAUCCAUGGGCAUACCAUAAGAACAUUUUUUAUCAAGCUUUUUGGAGUUUAAAAAAAAUGACAGUUUUCAGCAGUUUCUUUAUAAGAUUAAAGAUGUUAAAUGUUUUGAGAUUACAUUUGAAUUAAAUGCGAUUUUGUGUGGCAAGUACCAUGUGAGAUUCUCUAACUUCUUUAUUAUGACUUGACAUAUCUACAUUGAACUGAUUUCCAAUUUUUGACUACUAAAAAAGCGAAGAAAAAAAACACAAAUUGUUACAGUAAUUGUUGUCAUUCUAUCUAUAUAAAGUCUUCUUAAAGCUUUAAGAAAACUAUUAUACUUUUCAUGUUGCCCUCUCCUUUAAUUGUAGCUGGUUUAAUACCAUUUUGUAGAGUAACAUUUUUCUCCUACCCCCUGUUUUGAAAAAAGAUUUUAUUUUCCAAAUAUCAAUUCGGUUUUGUGUAUAGACCUAGAGAGAGAUAUGCUUGACAUUAUACUCUAUCUACCCCCUGUUAACUGUAACAAAGACCUAGAGAGAGAGAUAUGCUUGACAUUAUACUCUAUCUACCCCCUGUUAACUAUAGACCUAGAGAGAGAUUGACAUUAUACUCUAUCUACCCCCUGUUAACUAUAGACCUAGAGAGAGAUUGACAUUAAACUCUAUCUACCCCCUGUUAACUGAAACAAAGAGAGCUUAAGAGCUAUACACAUUGCUAUGUACGUAUAAUUUAUCCCUUGCAAAGGGAGAUAACUCUUCAGAAAAUGUCAUUUCCCAUUGAUGUUGUCAUUAGUCCUUAAGGAUGAACUUAGGUGAGGUUUUUGGAAUUUGUGUCAAAUGUUCGGACUCCUUGGUGUUUUUCCAUAGAAUACAAUGUAAAAUAUUUUGCCCCAUAAUACCCAUUUAUUUUUUCAUAUAAGACUUAAUAGCUCAUGAAAGGUAAUUUAUCAAAAUUUUAGAAGAUUCUUGAUUUUCCUUCAUUUGUUUUGAGACCCAAAUAAUACCAAUGCAAAUAUAAGGUAAAAGUCCGAGUCAGCCUUUUCCCGCCAUAUUUUAAAUCUCAAAUAUCUCGAAAAGGAGGUCCAUGACCUAUCAAUAUUUUUAGGUUAUCUUUAUCCUUAAUUGAUGCUCUACAGGCUUAUAGUAUCAAUUUUAAUUUCUUAAUUUCUUAAUUUUUACCUAACUUCACCCAAGUACAUCCUUAAUUUCUUCUUUGACUUCGUCUUACUCCAUCAGCCCUCCUGUAUGGUUCAUUCUUCAAAUCU